UGGUGUUGUUGCUGUCCCGUUGGACAGAGUGUUGCUCAGAGUUGUCAGCAGUGUUGCAUCUCUGCUGAGGGUCUGGACAGUCAGACACUUAGACCUGUCAGAGCUCUGCAUCCCAACUCAGCAUCUCACUGCGCUGCUGCUUCAUCGUGGCCCACUGAGCAUCAGAAUGAAGAAUGAGAACCUGCAGCAGUUUCCUGCCCUCCUUCAUGAAGUCCAGGACCCGGAGCUGACUCAGAGUUUCUUCAGUAAAGUAGGUGGAGACCUGACUUCCUGCUGUCUGACCUGGGAGCUUCUUUACUUUCUCUUACAGCACUCAUCAGGUCAGACCAUCACAGUCAACCUGAAAAAGGUCAG
Long non-coding RNA from Oreochromis aureus, 354 nucleotides. NCBI's taxonomy places the organism in Eukaryota, Metazoa, Chordata, Actinopteri, Cichliformes, Cichlidae. The record is from Ensembl.